This 425-nucleotide ribosomal RNA is filed under the name uncultured bacterium. Its description in RNAcentral is "bacterial SSU rRNA". It matches the Rfam family "Bacterial small subunit ribosomal RNA", at positions 30 to 456 of the family's 1533-position model. The record is from RNAcentral.
AUUGAACGCUGGCGGCAUGCCUUACACAUGCAAGUCGAACGGCAGCACGGGAGCAAUCCUGGUGGCGAGUGGCGAACGGGUGAGUAAUAUAUCGGAACGUGCCCAGUCGUGGGGGAUAACGUAGCGAAAGCUACGCUAAUACCGCAUACGAUCUAUGGAUGAAAGCGGAGGAUCGCAAGACCUCGCGCGAUUGGAGCGGCCGAUAUCAGAUUAGGUAGUUGGUGAGGUAAAGGCUCACCAAGCCGACGAUCUGUAGCUGGUCUGAGAGGACGACCAGCCACACUGGGACUGAGACACGGCCCAGACUCCUACGGGAGGCAGCAGUGGGGAAUUUUGGACAAUGGGCGCAAGCCUGAUCCAGCAAUGCCGCGUGCAGGAUGAAGGCCUCGGUUGUAACGUGACUUUGUUACGGUACGAACGGUAGA